Juglans microcarpa x Juglans regia is the source of this 909-nucleotide long non-coding RNA. RefSeq lists it as uncharacterized. The transcript has 3 exons. The record is from RefSeq and is a predicted model, not a curated record. NCBI's taxonomy places the organism in Eukaryota, Viridiplantae, Streptophyta, Magnoliopsida, Fagales, Juglandaceae.
UUGAGAUUCAAAUAUAUGAAAGACACUUAUGAAACGAAUUUAUUGAGUUACUCAUUUACUUUAUCCCAAUGCUGCCGUAUUUGAAAUUAUUUAUUUAUUUUUGUUGUGUUCAUACUAUUAUGUUCCAUUGAAGGCUGGAUAAUGAUCUCGCAUAGAAAAUAUACAUUAAAGCCAACGUAACUCGAAAAGUCAUUGCUCCUUUUGCUGAACAGACGAGAUUUGAUAAAAUUUUGAUAUAUUCAAAACAGGUUGGGUACAGUCCAGAUUAACUAUUCCUUCGUUCAGAUCCUCAAGGAGCUGUUAACUUUGCGGUAAUGAUGUCUCAAAUGGAGGGAGGUUGUCGAGUUGAUUACAAUACCGUAACAGAUCUCUUUCUCCAGGUUUGUUGUCUCUAAUGACUUUUGAGUUGGUAUAUUAAUGUAAUAAUAAGGACGUGUGAUUUUCCAUUGUUAUUGCUUUAAUUUUUUAAUAUUGGCAGGCUUCAUAAGGGUAAAUUGAUUUUCAUUUUUGCUUUCAAUUCUUUGUGGUUUUAAUAGAAGAACCUGAUCCGUGAGGCAACGACUUUUCUAUUAGUGUACAUCAUAUCAAACCAACAGCUCAAAUAAACACCUAGUGUUAGUAAUUGUGCAUGACCUCAUCUGAUAGGAUAAUUCUGUAUGCUUGAGAAUUUAUAUAGGGCUCCACGUAAGACACCUUGGAAUUGUCCUCUUAAGUUGGAAUAGGAUGGGGGCUUACGGUCUUUUAACUCCAAAUAUUCUGCAUGCACAAGUGUGUCAAUUGCAAGUGUAUUUGCCGUUUGCCUCCUCUGGUUGAAACCAUAUGAGACUUUUAAUUUUUGAAAGAUGAUUUCCUCCUUUUUUUUUUCGAAGUGUCUCGUUAAGCUCAGUGAACUUUGUUUACGUUAGAUAG